Molecule: non-coding RNA, 2028 nt
Organism: Durio zibethinus
Lineage: Eukaryota; Viridiplantae; Streptophyta; Magnoliopsida; Malvales; Malvaceae
Source: RefSeq, a predicted model, not a curated record
UUAAACAAUCUCCGCUUUCCGUCUAUAAAACUAACGGCCAAUGUUUCCAUCUCCAUCUAAAGAUUUAAUGACAGUUUUAAUCAAAUCUAAAAUCUCCAAUUGUUAAAACCCUAAGAUUUGAAAUUUCCACGAUCUAAAACCCUGAUUUCCCGAAAUCCCCUCUUUCUACCCCAAAUGCCCGCUUCCAUGCAUCAACCGUAAUUAAAGGAAAGAUAUGUGAAUACGAAAUUGAUAUGAAGAAUUAUCGAACAUGAACGAUGGAGGUUUGCAUAAUAGAAAAGAACAGGAAAAAUCACAAAAACAAUCAAAGCCUUCCAAAUUCCGUAGCAAAAGUGACGAUUUUGCCCUAGCCAUCGCGAAGGUUGCAAUAGCGCAAGUUUGCGAAAGCGUAGGGUUUCAGGGUUCCCAACACUCUGCUUUAGAAACAUUAUCUGAUAUAAUUGUACGGUACAUUUACAGCGUAGGAAAAACUGCGAAUUUUAAUGCUAAUUUGGCGGGGAGAGCGGAAGCGAAUGUGUUUGAUGUUAUUCAAGGGUUGGAAGAGUUAGGAUCGGGUUUAGGCUUUGCCGGUGGAUCUGAUUUUGAUCGCUGUGUUGCUAAUUCAGUGAUUGCUAGGGAUAUUAUUCAUUUUAUUGGUGAUGCGGAUGAUAUCCCAUUUGCAUAUGAUGUUCCACGAUUCCCUCUUGUUAAAGAGUGGAAGGAAAUGGAAAGUUUAUGGGGAAAAGGAGAACAGCCUCCUGGGGAGCAUAUACCUAGUUGGUUGCCGGCCUUUCCUGACCCUGAUACUUAUGCUGCUCGGUUGAGUGUAGGGAAUGAAACAAACAGUAUUUCCAGUGGAGAGAAGACUGAGUUAGCGAGGGUUGAAAGGAAGAUGGAGCGGUCAUUGUUGAAUUUGCAGCAGCGGUUUGCUCGAAAUGGGAAUGAAGGAGGUUCUUCAAAUUAUGGUGGAUAUGCUGGUAGAGCUAGGGUAGCAUCUGAGAGCAAUCCUUAUCUUGCUGCACCUCUGCAUUUUGGGGAAAAGGAAGUGGAAGUUUCACCCGUUGUUCUUCCAGCGAAGCUUUCGAAUGAAGUGGCUUUGAGAAAUCCUGUUCCAGAAAAUUGUGAUAUGGGAAACCGUGUUUCGGUGCUGGAGACAUUUGCUCCUGCUAUUGAAGGAAUGACGAGUGGGUUAUGUGAUCUGGACAAUGGACAGAAAAAAGUUGUUUACAACCAGAGCGUGCAUUUUAAGAUUGGAAUUGGAAAGAAGUCUUUUGGCACGGCACCAUAUUUCAAUUCACAGAACGAGGAUCUUGAGAAGAUAGCCUCAUGGUUUAGAAAUGAUAAUGAGAAGGAUGACAAGAAAAGAAAAGCGGAAAAAAUUCUGAAAGAAUCUAUAGAAAGCUCUCAGAAACCGACUCAGUUGUAAGCUAGCUUUAUUAUCAUCCCUUCUGUUUGAUCAAAAAAAAAAAAAUCAUCCUUUCUAGACUUUUCUACAAUGGACCUAGAAAUGUACGGUGAAAACUACCACAGAGAAGUCUACUGCUUUGACAGCUUUCUAGAGGUAUGCACGUGACAGUUGCCAUUAUAGAAAUUUGUCAGUGGAUGAUUCUUUUUAAUUGAAAUUCUUGUUUCUUCUUUCGUGUUCUUACACUGAUCACGGAUUUAUCAGUUUCUGGCUGAAUCUGAUCUUCUUAUGUACACUAUGCGCACAAUUGUUGAAGCUUUGUACAAUAUCGUAUUAGCAUUUGUCAUUAAUGAAGGCAGAUAGUAUCGUACUGCCAAAAUGGUGACUUCGAAAUGGAGAGAAUACAUAUGUUAGUAUAUACAUAAGGUUGCAAUUUACAAGUAUUUCACAGGCUUUUUAAUUUACUUGGUGUCAUCAAGCUGCUGUCCUUUUGGUCUUCUAUCCUCUGGCGUACUUGGUGAGAGCCACUGCUUGGCGGGGAACAAGGUAGGAUUGACUAGAUGAUCUGACGGAUAAAGGUGGUAGGGCAAGAAGCAGGAGUCCAGCUCGCUGAGGAGACCUGAUGCCAACAUGACUUCAACAAU